Molecule: non-coding RNA, 26 nt
Filed under: Mus musculus (house mouse)
Lineage: Eukaryota; Metazoa; Chordata; Mammalia; Rodentia; Muridae
Also listed under: 1 other name
Source: RNAcentral
UGCCCCUCAGAAUGACAGUUGGAAGG